GACGAACGCUGGCGGCGUGCUUAACACAUGCAAGUCGAACGGUAAGGCUCCAGCUUGCUGGGGUACACGAGUGGCGAACGGGUGAGUAACACGUGGGUGACCUGCCCUGCACUUCGGGAUAAGCCUGGGAAACUGGGUCUAAUACCGGAUAGGACCGCACCGUGAGGGUGUGGUGGAAAGUUUUUUCGGUGUGGGAUGGGCCCGCGGCCUAUCAGCUUGUUGGUGGGGUAAUGGCCUACCAAGGCGGCGACGGGUAGCCGGCCUGAGAGGGUGGACGGCCACAUUGGGACUGAGACACGGCCCAGACUCCUACGGGAGGCAGCAGUGGGGAAUAUUGCACAAUGGGCGGAAGCCUGAUGCAGCGACGCCGCGUGGGGGAUGACGGCCUUCGGGUUGUAAACUCCUUUCACCAUCGACGAAGGGUUUCUGACGGUAGAUGGAGAAGAAGCACCGGCUAACUACGUGCCAGCAGCCGCGGUAAUACGUAGGGUGCGAGCGUUGUCCGGAAUUACUGGGCGUAAAGAGCUCGUAGGUGGUUUGUCGCGUCGUCUGUGAAAUUCCGGGGCUUAACUCCGGGCGUGCAGGCGAUACGGGCAUAACUUGAGUACUGUAGGGGAGACUGGAAUUCCUGGUGUAGCGGUGAAAUGCGCAGAUAUCAGGAGGAACACCGGUGGCGAAGGCGGGUCUCUGGGCAGUAACUGACGCUGAGGAGCGAAAGCAUGGGGAGCGAACAGGAUUAGAUACCCUGGUAGUCCAUGCCGUAAACGGUGGGCGCUAGGUGUGGGUUUCCUUCCACGGGAUCCGUGCCGUAGCUAACGCAUUAAGCGCCCCGCCUGGGGAGUACGGCCGCAAGGCUAAAACUCAAAGGAAUUGACGGGGGCCCGCACAAGCGGCGGAGCAUGUGGAUUAAUUCGAUGCAACGCGAAGAACCUUACCUGGGCUUGACAUAUACAGGAUCGCGCCAGAGAUGGUGUUUCCCUUGUGGCUUGUAUACAGGUGGUGCAUGGUUGUCGUCAGCUCGUGUCGUGAGAUGUUGGGUUAAGUCCCGCAACGAGCGCAACCCUUGUCUUAUGUUGCCAGCGCGUUGUGGUGGGGACUCGUAAGAAACUGCCGGGGUUAACUCGGAGGAAGGUGGGGAUGACGUCAAAUCAUCAUGCCCCUUAUGUCCAGGGCUUCACACAUGCUACAAUGGUCGGUACAGUGGGUUGCCAGUCCGUGAGGGCGAGCUAAUCCCGCAAAGCCGGUCUCAGUUCGGAUCGGGGUCUGCAACUCGACCCCGUGAAGUCGGAGUCGCUAGUAAUCGCAGAUCAGCAACGCUGCGGUGAAUACGUUCCCGGGCCU
This 1341-nucleotide ribosomal RNA is filed under the name uncultured bacterium. RNAcentral's name for it is "partial 16S ribosomal RNA". It matches the Rfam family "Bacterial small subunit ribosomal RNA", at positions 28 to 1381 of the family's 1533-position model. The record is from RNAcentral.